This is a long non-coding RNA of Nothoprocta perdicaria, 436 nucleotides long. RefSeq lists it as uncharacterized. The transcript has 2 exons. Lineage: Eukaryota; Metazoa; Chordata; Aves; Tinamiformes; Tinamidae. The record is from RefSeq and is a predicted model, not a curated record.
CAGAAUAACCACCGCACUGUAAGGCAGAGUGAGGGCAACUGUGUUCGCUCAGACCUUUGUGGAAGUGAGCCCUGAACAGCAGAACUGCUCCAGGAAAUGCGCUGUGUGUCUAAGUCUGAGCUCAUGGGAUUUUCCCAGAUCAGCAGACAGGUGCAUACCGGAUUCCCUCUGAACUAUUCAUUUGUUCCCUCUGCAAAGCUGUUAUAUCUGCAAAGCUGCAAAACAGAUUCUAAAAGACCUCAUGUUGUAUGUGUACUAGACCUCCUGUUAGGAAAUAUUUCAGAGUAGAUGAUUCUAUAUACAUCUUAUUUCAAAAAAAACCCCAGAUUAUUUUAAUAUGAUUUUCGAUCUGUAGGCUUGUUUUUGCUGCACAGAUCAUACUUGGACCUGAAAGAAAUGUAAAGCCUGACUGCAGGCUAGGAUCUUGGAUUUUACG